Molecule: ribosomal RNA, 468 nt
Filed under: uncultured bacterium
Lineage: Bacteria
Description: partial 16S ribosomal RNA
Rfam family: Bacterial small subunit ribosomal RNA
Source: RNAcentral
GACGAACGCUGGCGGCGUGCUUAACACAUGCAAGUCGAACGGAAAGGCCCUGCUUUUGUGGGGUGCUCGAGUGGCGAACGGGUGAGUAACACGUGAGUAACCUGCCCUUGACUUUGGGAUAACUUCAGGAAACUGGGGCUAAUACCGGAUAGGAGCUCCUGCUGCAUGGUGGGGGUUGGAAAGUUUCGGCGGUUGGGGAUGGACUCGCGGCUUAUCAGCUUGUUGGUGGGGUAGUGGCUUACCAAGGCUUUGACGGGUAGCCGGCCUGAGAGGGUGACCGGCCACAUUGGGACUGAGAUACGGCCCAGACUCCUACGGGAGGCAGCAGUGGGGAAUAUUGCACAAUGGGCGGAAGCCUGAUGCAGCAACGCCGCGUGCGGGAUGACGGCCUUCGGGUUGUAAACCGCUUUCGCCUGUGACGAAGCGUGAGUGACGGUAAUGGGUAAAGAAGGAGCGGCUAACUACGUG